RNAcentral lists this ribosomal RNA (1371 nucleotides) under uncultured bacterium. RNAcentral describes it as "bacterial SSU rRNA". It matches the Rfam family "Bacterial small subunit ribosomal RNA", at positions 28 to 1381 of the family's 1533-position model. The record is from RNAcentral.
GAUGAACGCUGGCGGCGUGCCUAAUACAUGCAAGUCGAGCGAACGGACGAGAAGCUUGCUUCUCUGAUGUUAGCGGCGGACGGGUGAGUAACACGUGGAUAACCUACCUAUAAGACUGGGAUAACUUCGGGAAACCGGAGCUAAUACCGGAUAAUAUUUUGAACCGCAUGGUUCAAAAGUGAAAGACGGUCUUGCUGUCACUUAUAGAUGGAUCCGCGCUGCAUUAGCUAGUUGGUAAGGUAACGGCUUACCAAGGCAACGAUGCAUAGCCGACCUGAGAGGGUGAUCGGCCACACUGGAACUGAGACACGGUCCAGACUCCUACGGGAGGCAGCAGUAGGGAAUCUUCCGCAAUGGGCGAAAGCCUGACGGAGCAACGCCGCGUGAGUGAUGAAGGUCUUCGGAUCGUAAAACUCUGUUAUUAGGGAAGAACAUAUGUGUAAGUAACUGUGCACAUCUUGACGGUACCUAAUCAGAAAGCCACGGCUAACUACGUGCCAGCAGCCGCGGUAAUACGUAGGUGGGCAGCGUUAUCCGGAAUUUAUGGGCGUAAAGCGCGCGUANGCGGUUUUUUAGUCUGAUGUGAAAGCCCACGGCUCAACCGUGGAGGGUCAUUGGAAACUGGAAAACUUGAGUGCAGAAGAGGAAAGUGGAAUUCCAUGUGUAGCGGUGAAAUGCGCAGAGAUAUGGAGGAACACCAGUGGCGAAGGCGACUUUCUGGUCUGUAACUGACGCUGAUGUGCGAAAGCGUGGGGAUCAAACAGGAUUAGAUACCCUGGUAGUCCACGCCGUAAACGAUGAGUGCUAAGUGUUAGGGGGUUUCCGCCCCUUAGUGCCGCAGCUAACGCAUUAAGCACUCCGCCUGGGGAGUACGACCGCAAGGUUGAAACUCAAAGGAAUUGACGGGGACCCGCACAAGCGGUGGAGCAUGUGGUUUAAUUCGAAGCAACGCGAAGAACCUUACCAAAUCUUGACAUCCUUUGACAACUCUAGAGAUAGAGCCUUCCCCUUCGGGGGACAAAGUGACAGGUGGUGCAUGGUUGUCGUCAGCUCGUGUCGUGAGAUGUUGGGUUAAGUCCCGCAACGAGCGCAACCCUUAAGCUUAGUUGCCAUCAUUAAGUUGGGCACUCUAAGUUGACUGCCGGUGACAAACCGGAGGAAGGUGGGGAUGACGUCAAAUCAUCAUGCCCCUUAUGAUUUGGGCUACACACGUGCUACAAUGGACAAUACAAAGGGCAGCGAAACCGCGAGGUCAAGCAAAUCCCAUAAAGUUGUUCUCAGUUCGGAUUGUAGUCUGCAACUCGACUACAUGAAGCUGGAAUCGCUAGUAAUCGUAGAUCAGCAUGCUACGGUGAAUACGUUCCCGGGUCU